GGGGGGGGGGGGGGGGGGGGCGGGGGGGGGCGGGUCGGGCGGGGGGACGAGGGGGUGGCUUCUCUGAUGUUAGCGGCGGACGGGUGAGUAACACGUGGAUAACCUACCUAUAAGACUGGGAUAACUUCGGGAAACCGGAGCUAAUACCGGAUAAUAUUUUGAACCGCAUGGUUCAAAAGUGAAAGACGGUCUUGCUGUCACUUAUAGAUGGAUCCGCGCUGCAUUAGCUAGUUGGUAAGGUAACGGCUUACCAAGGCAACGAUGCAUAGCCGACCUGAGAGGGUGAGCGGCCACACUGGAACUGAGACACGGUCCAGACUCCUACGGGAGGCAGCAGUAGGGAAUCUUCCGCAAUGGGCGAAAGCCUGACGGAGCAACGCCGCGUGAGUGAUGAAGGUCUUCGGAUCGUAAAACUCUGUUAUUAGGGAAGAACAUAUGUGUAAGUAACUGUGCACAUCUUGACGGUACCUAAUCAGAAAGCCACGGCUAACUACGUG
RNAcentral lists this ribosomal RNA (497 nucleotides) under uncultured bacterium. RNAcentral's name for it is "partial 16S ribosomal RNA". It matches the Rfam family "Bacterial small subunit ribosomal RNA", at positions 38 to 507 of the family's 1533-position model. The record is from RNAcentral.